RNAcentral lists this non-coding RNA (95 nucleotides) under Kutzneria viridogrisea DSM 43870. Its description in RNAcentral is "Kutzneria albida DSM 43870 Glycine riboswitch aptamer". It matches the Rfam family "Glycine riboswitch aptamer". From Rfam's summary of the family: This family represents the bacterial glycine riboswitch. The record is from Rfam by way of RNAcentral. Lineage: Bacteria; Bacillati; Actinomycetota; Actinomycetes; Pseudonocardiales; Pseudonocardiaceae.
UGACGCCGUGCGGGAGAGUCCUGCCGAAGCCGGGCAGGCGCCGAAGGAGCAAUCCCUCCCCGGAAUCUCUCAGGCACCCACACCGCUCGGACCAG